This 380-nucleotide long non-coding RNA is filed under the name Medicago truncatula (barrel medic). RNAcentral's name for it is "long non-coding RNA (MTRU_LNC002582)". The record is from RNAcentral. Lineage: Eukaryota; Viridiplantae; Streptophyta; Magnoliopsida; Fabales; Fabaceae.
AGUAAAACCUCAUUCGUCAACUGUAAUUUAGAGUAUAGCCGAGAGUUAAGUAAAAUUUGGUCAAGAAUUGUUCUAUUUAAGAAUCAAACUUAAGUUAUCCUGAACAAUUCGUCAUUUGUUAAAAACACAUUUAAUCUAGAACAUAUGCACUAUUAUUUUUCUAUUUUUUACAAGGGUGUUUUUGUUUUCUCUUCCUAUUUUUUUUAAAUUGGUUCGAUUAUUGCAAUUUUUUUAUGAGACAACACAAUUUUUUGUUUCCAAUAUUAAAAUAAAGUUAAAAACAACUUAUUUCCAAUUAUAUUUUAAAUUUGAUCCAACAUUAAAAAUUCUUUUUCAUCCAACAAUGUUCCAUACGAAAUGAAAAAUAUGAAUUAGAAAAG